RNAcentral lists this small RNA (2245 nucleotides) under Pan troglodytes (chimpanzee). RNAcentral describes it as "retained intron". Lineage: Eukaryota; Metazoa; Chordata; Mammalia; Primates; Hominidae. The record is from RNAcentral.
CCUUCUAGCUUCGUUUUCUGCCAUAUCUUGUAGGGGUCUCCACAUACUUGGCCCAGCCUGCUCCCUCAGCCAGAGACUGCCCUUCACAAUUUGUGCACCAUUGAUAGUUUAGUGAUCCUGCCAGUUUCAAUUCAUUAUGAUUCCUACAAUCAAAAUUAAUCACCACUGAUUUUGUGUUCUCUUGGUAUUAUGACUCACACCUCUUUUGAGGAAUUAUUUUAUUUUCCCCAAGCUAUGGUUUGUCUUCUUCCUGCAUAUUGGAUGCUCUUUGAGGUCAGGAGCCCCGAACUGGCCAUUUGUUUCUGCCUCUUAUGUAAUUCCUUUGCACCAGGUAGUUACCAGGUAGUUCAUUAGAUAUGAACUUUCUGAAUUGGAUUGAAAUUGCAAUAGCCAGAUGGAGAUAAACCUCUGCUCAUGCAUUAUGGAAUAAGUGAUGACAGCGUUAAAACAUUAACCAUUUUCAUUUUUGUUAUAGAAUGUUACAGUGAAAGUGAACAGGAAGAUCCUGAAAUAGCUGCGGAGACACCACCCCCUCCUCACGCUUCCCAGACUCAGUCUUUGGCUGCACAGCAGGCAUCUUCAUCCUCACCCAGCCUCAGUGAAACGUCGUGUUCUUUCUCUUCCCUGGAAAAUACAGUGAAGACACCCAGCAGUUUUCCUUCCUCCUUAUCUAAAGAGAGACAAUCCUUGCCUGACACAGUUAACAGUUUGUCUGCUGCUGAAGAUGAGGGACAACCAAUAACGUUUGCUGUGCAAGUUCAUUCACCUGUACCCUCAGAGGCAGGCAUCCACAAGGCCCUGGAAAACAGUUUUGUCACAUCAGAAAGUGGAUUUUUGAACUCUUUAUCUAGUGAUGAUACUUCUUCAUUGAGUAGCAAUCAUGACCAUCUUACUGUCCCAGAUAAGCCUGCUGGAUCAAAGAUCACGGACAAAGAAGAGACAAAAGUGUCUGAAGAUGAUGAAAUGGAGAAGCUGUACAAAUCAUUAGAGCAAGCUAGUCUAUCUCCUCUUGGGGACCGACGACCUUCAACUAAAAAGGAGUUGAGAAAAUCCUUUGUUAAGCGGUGUAAAAAUCCAUCUAUAAACGAGAAACUCCACAAAAUCCGAACAUUGAAUAGCACAUUAAAGUGUAAAGAACAUGAUCUGGCCAUGAUUAACCAGUUGCUGGAUGACCCGAAGCUGACAGCCAGGAAAUACAGAGAGUGGAAAGUCAUGAACACCCUGCUGAUCCAGGACAUCUAUCAGCAGCAGCGGGCUUCGCCUGCCCCUGAUGACACUGAUGACACCCCCCAGGAACUCAAGAAAUCACCUUCUUCGCCCUCUGUUGAAAAUUCCAUUUGAGACAAAGUCAGGGUUUUCUCCUCUUAUAUUUUAUCACAAGCAACUCUUCAAGAUGUUGCAAAAGCUUUCAUUUUUCCUUAAAAGGAAAACUGAAACCCAGUCCUUCAAGCAUCAGCUUCCCAUCUAAAGAUGCACGUUAGAUGAAGAUAAUCACCGAAUACACCGGGGCUCCUCAUUUCAGUCGUAACGCAUCCACUGAGAUUGGAACGAUUGAGUUCAGUUGAAAGGCGUUUUUUGUGUUCCUACUGGGAGCUCACGGUGAUGUGGGGCUCUAGGGGGGAUGUGAGAAAUGUCUCUUCUGUUCAUUGCUCUCCAGAGAAUGCUAUGGACAAGAAUCAAAUUUUACCAGGAGUAAUUGCCCAUGGAAACAUUCUGUUUUUCAAAAGAAGAAUGUACAUAUUCCACUUGGCUGGGAAGCUGUGUGGCCCAAAUCACUGUUUGAGUGGAGGAAUGUUUUCUAGAGCAGUGACUGGAAGGACAAACGUGGUGUUGCAGAACAAAAAUUCCUUGCCUUUGGGAUGGAAUGGUGGUGCCUUUUCCAUGUGAUGAGAAAUGCUUCAUAGACAGUGGCAUGUGGGAGAGCUGAAGGAGGAGGCGUGUUCCAUAUUCCACUCAUUCAAAGGACAGCUUGGUGUUUUCACACUUUAUGCAGGUUAGGGGAUCUGAUUAAUGUUUCCUUUCCUUACAACAGCUAGAGAAAACAUCUCAUCACAAUUGGAGACCUCUACUUCCUUCGAGCUUUCCUACUCAAUGGUAGGAGAUAGUAAUAUGUUCAGCAAAGAAUGUCUACUGCUCUUGUCCUUGGCUGUGAUCCCUAUACAUAGUGUGAAUUUAUAUCCAGAUUUCCCAGGAUCAAUAUUGACAAGAUGACUUUGGCAUCUGAAUUGUUUUAAUAUCUUUACUC